AAUUCGGGGGUGCGCAUCCGAAUAUGGAUACGGGUGUGGGGAUUCAGCUAAUAAAAAAUAGAGCUAUAAAAAUAUUGUAAUUUUGAGAGAUAUUCUGGGAAAAACUUACAUGAAUAUUGUAGAAUUCAAUCUUCAUUCUCCAAGAUGGACAUUAUUCUUUCAUUCUCCUAAAUUCCUAAAUCUGUUUUAUUUUGAAUUUUGAUAAAUCAGAAUCUCAAUUUUUCUCCCAAAUUUGUCGAUAGAUUCCGGUCAAAGUGUCCGAAGUCAAUUGACCGAAUCCGGAACGUAUCC
RNAcentral lists this long non-coding RNA (291 nucleotides) under Nicotiana benthamiana. RNAcentral describes it as "long non-coding RNA (NBEN_LNC001680)". The record is from RNAcentral. Lineage: Eukaryota; Viridiplantae; Streptophyta; Magnoliopsida; Solanales; Solanaceae.